CAUCACAUGAAGGAGAUUAUUCCAAGUAGUGAUAACUUCAAAUCCCUAGGAUGAGCUAACAAAUGGCUCAGCUCAGGAAAGGAAAAAGAAACUUAACCACUGACAUUCUGUGGCAAGAAGAUUUUGCAUGUCAGGCUUAGUCAGCACCUACUCAGACAAGGAGCUGUAGGAGGAUCAACUUGCUAGGUCAGAUUGUCCUGCUCUCAGAGACUUUGGGAGUUCACUUUUCUUGUGCAGGCAGACAUAAGCAGUACUGUACAGUAGAGGUGUGCGAGUCCAGCAUAUUAAGAUUCGAGUCCAGACUCGAGUAUCUGCUCUGGACUCGAGUAAUUACUCGAGUAAUUACUCGAGUCCCACGGCUCUUAAGACUCGAGUUAUUACUCGAGAAAUAGUAUCCCGAAAGGGAAUUUUAGUGGGUUUCAAAAAAGUGUAGAUCUAGAAUUCUGUGGUUUACACUGGGUAUCACAUCACGGUAAACGCACACAUGAAGAGAAUAGCCAAAAGGCUUGCUCUCUCACCCCGGGUGAGUGAGAAGCUUACAACUGUAUAACAACUAAGCUAGAAUAGAAGUAGUCUUCAUCUUAUCUUAUCUUAUUAUUUAAAAAAAAAAAAAA
Aplysia californica (California sea hare) is the source of this 614-nucleotide long non-coding RNA. RefSeq lists it as uncharacterized. The record is from RefSeq and is a predicted model, not a curated record. The transcript has 2 exons. Lineage: Eukaryota; Metazoa; Mollusca; Gastropoda; Aplysiida; Aplysiidae.